RNAcentral lists this transfer RNA (64 nucleotides) under Euglandina singleyana. Its description in RNAcentral is "tRNA-Thr". Lineage: Eukaryota; Metazoa; Mollusca; Gastropoda; Stylommatophora; Spiraxidae. The record is from RNAcentral.
GCAAAACUAGCUUAAUUAAAAAGCACUGAUUUUGUAAGUCGGAGAUAUUAUAAAUGUUUUGUUU